This 72-nucleotide transfer RNA is filed under the name Hominimerdicola alba 7 = DSM 20455. RNAcentral describes it as "tRNA-Trp (CCA) (tRNA-Trp-CCA-2-1)". It matches the Rfam family "tRNA". From Rfam's summary of the family: Transfer RNA (tRNA) molecules are approximately 80 nucleotides in length. Their secondary structure includes four short double-helical elements and three loops (D, anti-codon, and T loops). Further hydrogen bonds mediate the characteristic L-shaped molecular structure. tRNAs have two regions of fundamental functional importance: the anti-codon, which is responsible for specific mRNA codon recognition, and the 3' end, to which the tRNAs corresponding amino acid is attached (by aminoacyl-tRNA synthetases). tRNAs cope with the degeneracy of the genetic code in two manners: having more than one tRNA (with a specific anti-codon) for a particular amino acid; and 'wobble' base-pairing, i.e. permitting non-standard base-pairing at the 3rd anti-codon position. Lineage: Bacteria; Bacillati; Bacillota; Clostridia; Eubacteriales; Oscillospiraceae. The record is from RNAcentral.
AGGAGAAUAGUUCAAUGGCUAGAAUGACGGUCUCCAAAACCGUAGAUCUCAGUUCGACUCUGAGUUCUCCUG